UAAUAUUAGUUGUGCUAUAUUACAAGUGCU
This 30-nucleotide non-coding RNA is filed under the name Mus musculus (house mouse). The record is from RNAcentral. Lineage: Eukaryota; Metazoa; Chordata; Mammalia; Rodentia; Muridae.